Molecule: ribosomal RNA, 617 nt
Filed under: uncultured bacterium
Lineage: Bacteria
Description: bacterial SSU rRNA
Rfam family: Bacterial small subunit ribosomal RNA
Source: RNAcentral
CCUACGGGAGGCAGCAGUGGGGAAUUUUGGACAAUGGACGCAAGUCUGAUCCAGCCAUGCCGCGUGUGGGAAGAAGGCCUUCGGGUUGUAAACCACUUUUGUCAGGGAAGAAACGGCUCGGGUUAAUACCUUGGGCUAAUGACGGUACCUGAAGAAUAAGCACCGGCUAACUACGUGCCAGCAGCCGCGGUAAUACGUAGGGUGCAAGCGUUAAUCGGAAUUACUGGGCGUAAAGCGUGCGCAGGCGGUUAUGCAAGACAGAUGUGAAAUCCCCGGGCUCAACCUGGGAACUGCAUUUGUGACUGCAUGGCUAGAGUACGGUAGAGGGGGAUGGAAUUCCGCGUGUAGCAGUGAAAUGCGUAGAUAUGCGGAGGAACACCGAUGGCGAAGGCAAUCCCCUGGACCUGUACUGACGCUCAUGCACGAAAGCGUGGGGAGCAAACAGGAUUAGAUACCCUGGUAGUCCACGCCCUAAACGAUGUCAACUGGUUNUUGGGAGGGUUUCUUCUCAGUAACGUAGCUAACGCGUGAAGUUGACCGCCUGGGGAGUACGGCCGCAAGGUUGAAACUCAAAUGAAUUGACGGCUGAGACGNGCGAGACGACGACGAGGAGGAGG